AAUUUCAUAUCAAAUCCAAAUCAAAUGCAUUUAAAACAUUUUUUACUUUGAUUAUUAAAUAUGGCUAGCCUUAAUUUGUUCAUUUUAAGGUAGAUUGAACCAAACACUACUAGUAACCUCUAACCAAAUCCCUAAAGGUUAGGGUUCAAAGCAAUUACAUUCUCCACCAAUAAAUGUAAAAGUUAACUAUUAUAUCCCGUUAAGUGGAG
This 209-nucleotide long non-coding RNA is filed under the name Vitis vinifera (wine grape). RNAcentral describes it as "long non-coding RNA (VVIN_LNC006225)". The record is from RNAcentral. Lineage: Eukaryota; Viridiplantae; Streptophyta; Magnoliopsida; Vitales; Vitaceae.